RNAcentral lists this ribosomal RNA (1897 nucleotides) under Shigella sonnei. RNAcentral's name for it is "partial 23S ribosomal RNA". It matches the Rfam family "Bacterial large subunit ribosomal RNA", at positions 474 to 2356 of the family's 2925-position model. Lineage: Bacteria; Pseudomonadati; Pseudomonadota; Gammaproteobacteria; Enterobacterales; Enterobacteriaceae. The record is from RNAcentral.
UCCUGACUGACCGAUAGUGAACCAGUACCGUGAGGGAAAGGCGAAAAGAACCCCGGCGAGGGGAGUGAAAAAGAACCUGAAACCGUGUACGUACAAGCAGUGGGAGCACGCUUAGGCGUGUGACUGCGUACCUUUUGUAUAAUGGGUCAGCGACUUAUAUUCUGUAGCAAGGUUAACCGAAUAGGGGAGCCGAAGGGAAACCGAGUCUUAACUGGGCGUUAAGUUGCAGGGUAUAGACCCGAAACCCGGUGAUCUAGCCAUGGGCAGGUUGAAGGUUGGGUAACACUAACUGGAGGACCGAACCGACUAAUGUUGAAAAAUUAGCGGAUGACUUGUGGCUGGGGGUGAAAGGCCAAUCAAACCGGGAGAUAGCUGGUUCUCCCCGAAAGCUAUUUAGGUAGCGCCUCGUGAAUUCAUCUCCGGGGGUAGAGCACUGUUUCGGCAAGGGGGUCAUCCCGACUUACCAACCCGAUGCAAACUGCGAAUACCGGAGAAUGUUAUCACGGGAGACACACGGCGGGUGCUAACGUCCGUCGUGAAGAGGGAAACAACCCAGACCGCCAGCUAAGGUCCCAAAGUCAUGGUUAAGUGGGAAACGAUGUGGGAAGGCCCAGACAGCCAGGAUGUUGGCUUAGAAGCAGCCAUCAUUUAAAGAAAGCGUAAUAGCUCACUGGUCGAGUCGGCCUGCGCGGAAGAUGUAACGGGGCUAAACCAUGCACCGAAGCUGCGGCAGCGACGCUUAUGCGUUGUUGGGUAGGGGAGCGUUCUGUAAGCCUGCGAAGGUGUGCUGUGAGGCAUGCUGGAGGUAUCAGAAGUGCGAAUGCUGACAUAAGUAACGAUAAAGCGGGUGAAAAGCCCGCUCGCCGGAAGACCAAGGGUUCCUGUCCAACGUUAAUCGGGGCAGGGUGAGUCGACCCCUAAGGCGAGGCCGAAAGGCGUAGUCGAUGGGAAACAGGUUAAUAUUCCUGUACUUGGUGUUACUGCGAAGGGGGGACGGAGAAGGCUAUGUUGGCCGGGCGACGGUUGUCCCGGUUUAAGCGUGUAGGCUGGUUUUCCAGGCAAAUCCGGAAAAUCAAGGCUGAGGCGUGAUGACGAGGCACUACGGUGCUGAAGCAACAAAUGCCCUGCUUCCAGGAAAAGCCUCUAAGCAUCAGGUAACAUCAAAUCGUACCCCAAACCGACACAGGUGGUCAGGUAGAGAAUACCAAGGCGCUUGAGAGAACUCGGGUGAAGGAACUAGGCAAAAUGGUGCCGUAACUUCGGGAGAAGGCACGCUGAUAUGUAGGUGAAGUCCCUCGCGGAUGGAGCUGAAAUCAGUCGAAGAUACCAGCUGGCUGCAACUGUUUAUUAAAAACACAGCACUGUGCAAACACGAAAGUGGACGUAUACGGUGUGACGCCUGCCCGGUGCCGGAAGGUUAAUUGAUGGGGUCAGCGCAAGCGAAGCUCUUGAUCGAAGCCCCGGUAAACGGCGGCCGUAACUAUAACGGUCCUAAGGUAGCGAAAUUCCUUGUCGGGUAAGUUCCGACCUGCACGAAUGGCGUAAUGAUGGCCAGGCUGUCUCCACCCGAGACUCAGUGAAAUUGAACUCGCUGUGAAGAUGCAGUGUACCCGCGGCAAGACGGAAAGACCCCGUGAACCUUUACUAUAGCUUGACACUGAACAUUGAGCCUUGAUGUGUAGGAUAGGUGGGAGGCUUUGAAGUGUGGACGCCAGUCUGCAUGGAGUCGACCUUGAAAUACCACCCUUUAAUGUUUGAUGUUCUAACGUGGACCCGUGAUCCGGGUUGCGGACAGUGUCUGGUGGGUAGUUUGACUGGGGCGGUCUCCUCCUAAAGAGUAACGGAGGAGCACGAAGGUUGGCUAAUCCUGGUCGGACAUCAGGAGGUUAGUGCAAUG